This 76-nucleotide non-coding RNA is filed under the name Eubacterium sp. RNAcentral describes it as "Fluoride sequence". It matches the Rfam family "Fluoride riboswitch aptamer (crcB RNA motif)". Lineage: Bacteria; Bacillati; Bacillota; Clostridia; Eubacteriales; Eubacteriaceae. The record is from RNAcentral.
UAACCCUUAGGGAAUGAAUGUCUCCCUUAGUAUUAUUACUUAAACUGCUUUUUAAGCUGAUGACUUCUGCAUUUUG